GCUUAGCCCUAAACACAGGAUAAUUACAUAAACAAAUUAUUUGCCAGAGUACUACCAGGCAACAGCUUAAAACUCAAAAGGACUUGGCGGUGCUUUAUAUCCUUC
This 105-nucleotide ribosomal RNA is filed under the name Chordata environmental sample. RNAcentral describes it as "partial 12S ribosomal RNA". The record is from RNAcentral. Lineage: Eukaryota; Metazoa; Chordata.